Molecule: ribosomal RNA, 497 nt
Filed under: uncultured bacterium
Lineage: Bacteria
Description: partial 16S ribosomal RNA
Rfam family: Bacterial small subunit ribosomal RNA
Source: RNAcentral
GAUGAACGCUGGCGGCGUGCCUAAUACAUGCAAGUCGAGCGAACAGACGAGGAGCUUGCUCCUCUGACGUUAGCGGCGGACGGGUGAGUAACACGUGUAUAACCUACCUAUAAGACUGGGAUAACUUCGGGAAACCGGAGCUAAUACCGGAUAAUAUAUUGAACCGCAUGGUUCAAUAGUGAAAUACGGUGUUGCUGUCACUUAUAGAUGGAUCCGCGCCGCAUUAGCUAGUUGGUAAGGUAACGGCUUACUACGGCAACGAUGCGUGGCCGACCUGAGAGGGGGAUAGGCCACACGGGAACUGAGACACGGACAAGACGACUACGGGAGGCAGCAGUAGGGAAUGUUCCGCAAUGGGCGAAAGCCUGACGGAGCAACGCCGCGUGAGUGAUGAAGGUCUUCGGAUCGUAAAACUCUGUUAUUAGGGAAGAACAAAUGUGGAAGUAACUAUGCACGGCUUGACGGUACCGAAUCAGAAAGCCACGGCUAACUACGUG